UGGGGAAUUUUGGACAAUGGGGGAAACCCUGAUCCAGCCAUCCCGCGUGUGCGAUGAAGGCCUUCGGGUUGUAAAGCACUUUUGGCAGGAAAGAAACGUCGCGGGUUAAUACCCCCGCNAAACUGACGGUACCUGCAGAAUAAGCACCGGCUAACUACGUGCCAGCAGCCGCGGUAAUACGUAGGGUGCAAGCGUUAAUCGGAAUUACUGGGCGUAAAGCGUGCGCAGGCGGUUCGGAAAGAAAGAUGUGAAAUCCCCAGAGCUUAACUUUGGAACUGCAUUUUUAACUACCGGGCUAGAGUGUGUCAGAGGGAGGUGGAAUUCCGCGUGUAGCAGUGAAAUGCGUAGNUAUGCGGAGGAACACCGAUGGCGAAGGCAGCCUCCUGGGAUAACACUGACGCUCAUGCACGAAAGCGUGGGGAGCAAACAGGAUUAGAUACCCUGGUAGUCCACGCCCUAAACGAUGUCAACUAGCUGUUGGGGCCUUCGGGCCUUGGUAGCGCGCUAACGCGUGAAGUUGACCGCCUGGGGAGUACGGUCGCAAGAUUAAAACUUAAAUGAAUUG
RNAcentral lists this ribosomal RNA (565 nucleotides) under uncultured bacterium. RNAcentral's name for it is "partial 16S ribosomal RNA". It matches the Rfam family "Bacterial small subunit ribosomal RNA", at positions 355 to 912 of the family's 1533-position model. The record is from RNAcentral.